Molecule: ribosomal RNA, 253 nt
Filed under: uncultured bacterium
Lineage: Bacteria
Description: partial 16S ribosomal RNA
Rfam family: Bacterial small subunit ribosomal RNA
Source: RNAcentral
UACGUAGGGUGCGAGCGUUAAUCGGAAUUACUGGGCGUAAAGCGUGCGCAGGCGGUUUUGUAAGCCAGAUGUGAAAUCCCCGGGCUUAACCUGGGAAUGGCAUUUGGGACUGCAAGGCUUGAGUGCGGCAGAGGAGACUAGAAUUCCUGGUGUAGCAGUGAAAUGCGUAGAUAUCCGGAGGAACACCAGUGGCGAAGGCGGCUUUCUGGACCGACACUGACGCUGAUGCGCGAAAGCUAGGGGAGCAAACGGG